Molecule: long non-coding RNA, 862 nt
Organism: Glycine soja
Lineage: Eukaryota; Viridiplantae; Streptophyta; Magnoliopsida; Fabales; Fabaceae
Exons: 2
Source: RefSeq, a predicted model, not a curated record
UCAAACUUCAUGGGAUUACAACUCUAGACUUAACUCUAGAGAGUAGGGAGCAUAGAGUAGAGACAAGAGGGGUCACUCUUCAUGGACUCUGAUUUCAAAGGAAACACUUGUCCUUGUCCUUCCUCAGGUUCCAACAACUCAAGAGAGUCUGCAAAGCUAGCUAUGCACUAUGCAGUUUAGUUUUCGCUUAACAAAUUAAACUCUCCACUUUCCACACAAACCUAAGAAGAAGCACUUGUCAAGAUGCCCUCUUCUGCUCAUGCUCAUGCUCAUGGCCUCAUCAUCAUCUCUCUCAUUUUGGUGUCUAUUUUUUUACCCAAUGUGAAUCUGGCAAAUGGUGGUGCAACUUCCAUGCAAAUGAUGAUGAUGAUGAAUGAGAGCAGAAGGAAAUUGGGAAGCUUCCAGAUAUGUGCACUAUGCAACUGCUGUGGUGGAGCCAAAGGGAUCUGCUUGCCCUCUCCAUGUUGCUAUGCCAUCAAUUGCAACAUUCCCAAUAGACCUUUUGGCUUUUGUUCCUUCACCCCUAAAACCUGUAAUUGCUUUGAAUGCCAUCUUUAAUGUUUUCUCUUGUAAAUGUCCAGUUGAGAAUAUUGGACUUAAUAAUAAUUUUUCACCUUUCAAUCAACAUACUAAUGAAUUCAGGUGUUUAAUUUGGUGGGGUUGGAAUAGAGGACAGUUAAGCCUUAGCUACAAACCUGCUAGUAUAUCUGUAAUAGGUUUUGCUGUUUGUUUCAUAAUGGAUCAUGUAUCAAUGCAUGAGCCUUGGUAUGUGUAUUGUUCUCUCUUUUCUAUGUGUUGUAUUAUGAUGCUGAUACCAACGUUUCUGUAUUGUUAAAUUAAUAAAGCAUGGAUAUUGCACUUA